Molecule: ribosomal RNA, 118 nt
Filed under: Xenopus tropicalis (tropical clawed frog)
Lineage: Eukaryota; Metazoa; Chordata; Amphibia; Anura; Pipidae
Source: RNAcentral
GCCUACGGCCAUACCACCCUGAAAGCGCCCGAUCUCGUCUGAUCUCGAAGCUAAGCAGGGACGGGCUUGGUUAGUACCUGGAUGGGAGACCGCCUGGGAAUACCAGGUGUUGUAGCUU